RNAcentral lists this ribosomal RNA (437 nucleotides) under uncultured bacterium. RNAcentral describes it as "partial 16S ribosomal RNA". It matches the Rfam family "Bacterial small subunit ribosomal RNA", at positions 28 to 507 of the family's 1533-position model. The record is from RNAcentral.
AGCGAACGCUGGCGGCAGGCUUAACACAUGCAAGUCGAGCGGGCAUACUUGUGGUGUCUGCGGCAGACGGGUGAGUAACGCGUGGGAACGUGCCCUUCGGUUCGGCCUAACCCCGGGAAACUUGAGCUAAUACCGCAUACGUGCGCGAGCAGAAAGGUUUGUUUGCUGACGGAUCGGCGCGCGUCUGAUUGGUUUGUUGGUGAGGUUACGGCUCACCAAGGCGACGUUCAGUAGCUGGUCUGCGAGGCUGAUCAGCCACACUGGCACUGAGACACGGCCCAGACCCGUAGGCGAGGCAGCAGUAGGGAAUAUAGGGCGAGGGAGGCAACUCUGGUGCAGCCAUGCCGGGGAAGAGAUGACUGCCGUAGGGUUGUAAAUCUCGUAUCGCCGGGACGAUAAUGACGGUACCGGAGGAAGAAGCCCCGGCUAACUUCGUG